UACGUAGGGAGCAAGCGUUGUCCGGAAUCACUGGGCGUAAAGGGCGCGUAGGCGGCCUGAUAAGUAGGGGGUGAAAUCCUGCGGCUUAACCGCAGGGCUGCCUUCUAAACUGUCAGGCUAGAGCACAGUAGAGGCAGGUGGAAUUCCCGGUGUAGCGGUGGAAUGCGUAGAGAUCGGGAAGAACAUCAGUGGCGAAGGCGGCCUGCUGGGCUGUUGCUGACGCUGAGGCGCGACAGCGUGGGGAGCAACAGG
This 252-nucleotide ribosomal RNA is filed under the name uncultured bacterium. RNAcentral describes it as "partial 16S ribosomal RNA". It matches the Rfam family "Bacterial small subunit ribosomal RNA", at positions 524 to 775 of the family's 1533-position model. The record is from RNAcentral.